UUCCUACGGGGCGCAGCAGUAGGGAAUCUUCCACAAUGGACGAAAGUCUGAUGGAGCAACGCCGCGUGAGUGAAGAAGUAUUUCGGUACGUAAAGCUCUAUCAGCAGGGAAGAAUAAUGACGGUACCUGACUAAGAAGCCCCGGCUAACUACGUGCCAGCAGCCGCGGUAAUACGUAGGGGGCAAGCGUUAUCCGGAUUUACUGGGUGUAAAGGGAGCGUAGACGGCUGUGCAAGUCUGAAGUGAAAUGCCGGGGCCCAACCCCGGAACUGCUUUGGAAACUGUACAGCUAGAGUGCAGGAGGGG
RNAcentral lists this ribosomal RNA (305 nucleotides) under uncultured bacterium. Its description in RNAcentral is "bacterial SSU rRNA". It matches the Rfam family "Bacterial small subunit ribosomal RNA", at positions 336 to 657 of the family's 1533-position model. The record is from RNAcentral.